Mesocricetus auratus (golden hamster) is the source of this 792-nucleotide long non-coding RNA. RefSeq lists it as uncharacterized. Lineage: Eukaryota; Metazoa; Chordata; Mammalia; Rodentia; Cricetidae. The record is from RefSeq and is a predicted model, not a curated record. The transcript is spliced from 6 exons.
GUCAUUUAUGGGGAGUUCUGGGCAUGAGUACCUUCACAGUGAUGUUCGAUUAAGGUGCCAUGGCCUUCAGUCUAGAUUCAACUAGGUUUCCUUGUGUGGGUGGAGAUUUUGGAAAUAUAUCUGAGGCUUGUGGUUGGAAACUCUCUUUUGGUGAUCUGCUGGUAUCUUGUAGUCUUCGCAAAGAUGAGAAGAUGAGACCUUCACUUCCCCUGCCAACGGAGCGAUUUUAAACUUUUGGGGCUGUGCCAACCUGAUAGGGCCAGCAGGGAGGGAGCGAGUGACGUGUCUUUUGCGGACUAGGAAAAAUACUCUGUUUGAGAGCCAGUCCCCUGAAGGAGGAUGACCCAGUUGAAGCCUUACACCUGCGCCUCUUCCCACUGACCUCCAGCACCCGGGAGGACGCUCUCCACCCGCAGAAACCGAUCAUCCUGAAGCAACCAAACUCCAUCUUGUUGGGUUCCAUUAAUGAUUCUCCAAGACCUGAAAGUCAGGAAGAAUGGACACGCUAAACCCUUCCAUGGCCCAUUUCAUCUAAAAGUAGCCAGACUGGCAUGUCUCUUAAAUGACUUUAGGGUCUAAAGUCUCAAGGGUCAUCCCGUCUAAUGACAUCUGAACAGCAGUAAGGAAGAAUGGAUUCCAUUCGUCUUAUGACAGCAGUAUUUAGAAGAGGCAGUGACAACAACGUUCUGGAAAGAAGACUGGGAAAUAGCACGAAAAGCUACAGUGUACUAUUUUGUAGAGUUUAUAUCUUGGACUCUGUAGAAUGAUUCAGAUUUCAAGUACUCUGUCUCU